UAUUAUUAUUAUUAUUAUUAGGAAACAAGAAGUCAGGGUUCUUUCCAUUGUCCCCAAUAGCCUCUAGUCAAAAAGUUAAAAUUUAGCACUAUCAAAGAUAUUCCCUAGAUCGCCUAAUCCUCACACUUUGCUGCAAUUUGAAGUUAAUUUUCACCUUCUGUAAUCUCCUACCGUUAAAUUUUUCCAAUGCAACAACACGUGAGGACAUACAAUUGUUUUUAUAGAUUUCAAGAUCUAGAAACAAGGAUAAUCACAAAGGCACAGGAUAAGAUGAGGAAUUGAAGAAUGAAAAAUGAAGAUAUGCAAAAGAGAAAUUUUAAGAAACCUUUGCUUCCACGUAUUUCCACUUUACAAAAAGUCUGUGCUUUUCCCCCCAUCCAUUUGCUAAUGGAAGAUUCAUUAUAUUAUCUUGAGCCUGCUGCCAGUACUUUACCAUCUCACAU
Molecule: unclassified non-coding RNA, 443 nt
Filed under: Hevea brasiliensis (rubber tree)
Lineage: Eukaryota; Viridiplantae; Streptophyta; Magnoliopsida; Malpighiales; Euphorbiaceae
Source: RNAcentral